GGUCAUCGAAACCUUAGCGGUGUUCAUUUUGGAGUAACGCGUAAAAACACCACUAUAAGAAACUGACGCCAUUGUGGUUCCUAGAGAACAAGGACCUAACAUCAUUCACCAAUUGGAGGGAGCCAACAUGGCCGAAUGAGGGGCUUGGUUUUGCGGAGCCUCUAGGCCAGCAGAGGAUCCGCCCACCCAUGAGUCAGAGGAUUUUGCGAAGUCUACUAGAAUGACAGCUCAAACCUGUCCACGUCAACACCAGAGAACCACUAUGGAGAUCGCGUCUUUGGAACCCUCGCUGUACACGGUGAAAGCGGUCUUCAUUCUGGAUAACGAUGGCAAUAGACUUCUAUCAAAGUACUACGACACAGAGCUCUACCCCUCCAUGAAGGAGCAGAAGAACUUUGAAAAGAACGUUUUCAACAAGACACACAAAGCUGACACAGAUGAGAUUGCCUUUGUGGAGGGGAUGACGAUCGUGUAUAAGUGCAGCAUCGACCUAUUCUUCUACGUGGUGGGCAGUGCACAGGAGAAUGAGCUCAUGCUCAUGGCUGUACUGAACUGUCUGUUUGAGUCCCUCAGUCAAAUCCUAAGGAAAAAUGUGGAGAGAAGGUGUCUAUUGGACAACAUGGACGGAGUCUUCUUGGUAGUGGAUGAAAUUAUUGACGGGGGGGUGAUCUUGGAAAGCGACCCCCAGCAGGUCAUCCAGAAGGUCAAUUACAGGGCGGAUGAGAACCCACUGUCAGAGCAGAGCGUGGCUCAGGUGAGGUCAUACACGCGCACCCACACACAAAGCAAUGUCACCCUGCAUGUAUAGUAUGAUCAUCUUUUCUAUUGAUAGAACUUUAGCCGUUUAAUUUCAGCUCACACCUGAUGACAUAACCUUCUGUUCUACUGUCAUAUACAGUACAUUAAUUGCAUAUAAACUAUAACCUGAUUCUUAUCUUUCCAGUUACCAAUUUUCGUAAUUUCUAUACUAAAUGCUCUGUAGAAUAAAGCCACAGUAAACAAUAUAUGGAUAAUUGUCUCCCAGUGUUGUUCAAUUUUAAAAUGAUCAAAUAUUACUACUCAUAAUACCUGGUUGAUUUAAAUGAUAGGGUACAGUUAUAUGACAUGCCAUCAAUACUACAAUAGGUUUUACGUUUGACUAAAGUCACUGCAUUCAGUCAUAGAUUCAUCCAUUUGAAUCAUGUAUUCUUUAUGAAUGCCAAACACACUGCAUUCAUACAGAAUGCUUUCAAUAUCAUUUAGGAGAAUUGCCAGCUUUGCCAGCGUGUACUAACCUGCAUCUGAAUUUGAUGCCAUGCUCACACCUGCAUAGUCAAUGAUGGAAUGGCUCACAUUGCAUGAUCAGCAUGGCUGCUGAAUUGCUCUUACCUUCAUGCAAUGUUCUGCCUGUUACUUCCUCUUUCCUUCUUCUCCUAACCCUUUGGUUUAACCCUCACAGCACAUUACGGACAAAUUGGCUAUGACCUCCAAUAUAAUGCAGUCUGCCAAAGAACAAAUAAAGUGGUCAAUACUCAAAUGAUCUACACUGCCUGUCCGAAGGUCAAAUGUCUUACAGUAAUGGACACUACGAAUUUAUGUGUAAAUAUUAAGGGGUGUAUUUAACGUUUAUGCUUAAAUAGGCUAUAUUUCUAGUAAUUAGUGGCAAAUACAGCGUUUUUCCUAUUACGGCAAGAUGACAUUUGUAUUUAUUAUAUUGGAAAUAAUCUGUUUUAAUUUAUUUGAUUUGCAAUAAAAAUCUGAAGAAUUAUGCUAGAUUAUAGCAUAUGAUUUUGUUUAUUUCCCUUAACCCACACAAAAUACUCUGUAAAGAAUGUUUUAACCAAACCAAGAGAACAGAAUUUUGUUUUAAUAUGCGCAGGCCUACACAACUAGGGAAACUGUUGCUUAGGCUUCAAUGAUUAGGGAGUUAUGUUACAGUGUUAUACUACAUUUUAAAGCUUUGUAGGUUUAACAGAAAAAAGGCAAUAGCCUGUGUAUUGUUACAGUAGUUCAGUUUCUAGUUGAAAGUCAGGUUACCCCAUGUUCAUUUUAGAAUGAUUGUGUUGAUAAUAAAACGAAGUUGGCAUAGCUAGGUAGGCGUAUGUUUUUUUCUAAAGCACUGAGAACACCAUUAAGACCAUAAGAAUAAAAUAUAUUUUGUUACUAGCCUGUGAUGGACAAAUAAACUAUUUGAAUAUUUCCUCAUUUUAACGCCAAAUAGGAAGAUAGGCUAAUAAUUGUUCGUUUUGUUGAUUUAUAUUGCCAUCUGUUUUCUAAUUUGAGUCUGCCUGUUGUCAAGCUAAUUAAACAAUAUUUUUUUGUA
Molecule: non-coding RNA, 2302 nt
Organism: Salmo salar (Atlantic salmon)
Lineage: Eukaryota; Metazoa; Chordata; Actinopteri; Salmoniformes; Salmonidae
Source: RefSeq, a predicted model, not a curated record